This 1450-nucleotide long non-coding RNA is filed under the name Nicotiana benthamiana. RNAcentral describes it as "long non-coding RNA (NBEN_LNC007682)". Lineage: Eukaryota; Viridiplantae; Streptophyta; Magnoliopsida; Solanales; Solanaceae. The record is from RNAcentral.
GCACUUGUCAAUCAUAUGACCAGGUUUCUUGCAAUAUCUACACGCUAAGAUUGUCUUGUUGAGAUCAAAACUGACUCUUUGAUUGAAUUGUUUAGAAUGGGCAGGUGUGGCAGGGAAUUUGUUGGUGAAAUAAGUGUUGAAAGCACUGGAGUCACUACGGAAUUGAGAGGGUGAUGAUGUAACUUGUCUCUGCCUCUCAUCCUGAAGCAGAAUGUUGUACUACAUAAGUGUUGAAAGCACUGAAGUCACUACGGAAUUGAGAUGGUGAUGAUGUAACUUGUCUCUGCCUCUCAUCCUGAAGCAGAAUGUUGUAUGCACUGUCUAGAGAUAGGGGAGGCUGUAGCAUGAGGAUAUUGCCCCUAACUCCCACAUAUGUAUCGUUAAGCCCCAUGAGAAAUUGAUGGAGCUUGUUUUCAUCAUCCUCCUUUUGAAGCUCGAGUCUGGCAGCACAUGUACAAGUGCUACCACGAGAUGCACGCAUAAAACCCAACUCAUCCCACAAUCUUUUCAGCUUGUUGAAGUAAGAUGCUAUAUCUAAGGACCCUUGACUAGUAGAUGCUAACUCCUGCUUAAUUUCAAAUAUUUUGGUACCAUUUACAGUCCCAUGCCUAUUAUUAAGCUGAGUCCAAAUACUUUGAGCAGUGUCAGAAUACUGAACACUCUCAGCUAUCUCUGGCGUAAGAGAAUUAGUGAGCCAAGAGAUAACCAUAUUGUUACACCUAUCCCACUGCCUAGAAUGGGGGGAAUUUUUCUGGAGGUUUAAGAACUGUUCCAUCGACAAAACCUAUCUUAUUCCUAGCAGAUAGUGAGACAAUCAUAUUUCUCCUCCAUCCCCCAAAACCAGUCCCUGAAAAGGGAUUACUAACCAAAGAGACUCCGGGAACAUCAGAAGAUAUGAGAAAUAAAGGACUUGAAGGAUCAAGUACAAAAUUAGUUGAACCAGAAUCAGAAGUAUCACCUACGUUAACCUUUUUUGGUGACUGAGAAUCCUUACCGAGCCUGAAACUUCACGAAUCCAAACCCUAACAGUUCGUGGAUAUCCAAAUCCUUAGGAAUCGACUUACUCUUCCAACGGAUGGAACCGAUGAAGUAGAAACCUCAGAAAAAAUCAAACGAUUGCAGCGGAAAACCCAGCAAUUGAGAGAACCCUAGAUUUUCAGAUACCAGAGAAACUCGGAUGAAAAUUGACGAGGGUAACAUCGCAACAAAGCCAGUGACGAGCAGAAUCGCAAUCGCUGCUCUGAUACCAUGUUAACAUGCCAAAAAUCACAGAUUGAUUGAGAUGAAAUCGAAGAAAAUAACACACAGAGAUAGAGAGAAAGAGAACUGGGAAUCGCUGCUCUGAUACCAUGUUAACAUACCAUGUAUUACAGAUUGAUCAAAGUGAAAUUGAAGAAAUGAUUGAAGAAAUGAAGAACGAGAAAAAGAGAGAAAGAGAACUGAUUGUUUC